UGCCAACUGAGGAGUUUGACUGAUGAUGAGUUUAGUGCUUGUGUCACGCCCCAAAAUAUAAGGGGUUAAUUGAAAUAAAUAACUAAGAAAUUGAAUAGGCUUGAUGUUUAAGUACAACUCCCAUAUCCUAGAGGUCCUAGGUUUAAGCUACCCCUUCCCCAUUUCUUCUCCUUUUAUUUUCAGCAAGCCAGGAUAAAAA
Molecule: long non-coding RNA, 199 nt
Filed under: Gossypium barbadense (sea-island cotton)
Lineage: Eukaryota; Viridiplantae; Streptophyta; Magnoliopsida; Malvales; Malvaceae
Description: long non-coding RNA (GBAR_LNC021737)
Source: RNAcentral